Non-coding RNA from Cyanistes caeruleus (blue tit), 1296 nucleotides. The record is from RefSeq and is a predicted model, not a curated record. Lineage: Eukaryota; Metazoa; Chordata; Aves; Passeriformes; Paridae.
GCAGGUGGGAUCUUAGGAGAAGUCUCAAAACCCAUCAGGUUCUUGAGAUCCACAGCACCCAAAACUCAUCUCUGGGGAUGCAGCUCCAGGAGAAGGAGGGAAUUGUCUCAGGAGACUCAGAGGCACCACAUCAAACCCUCUGCUCCUCCACCUGAGGAUGGAGUCACCCAGGCCUGAGCAGAGGUGGCUCCUUGGUUGCCCAGCUGGCCACCAGAACAGUGCUGUGGCCUUUGGAACCUGCAGAUCUCAGAGGGUUCCUCUGGUUCCCACUGUGAGAAAUUCACCUCUGCCUCCUUAUCUGGCCCUUAAAUAUCUUCAGAGAUUUUCUCAGGCGUUGCUUUGCCCAGGUUUUGGAGGAUUAAACGCACCAAGUUCCUGGAGUCUGGGACAGCUCCUUUUUGUGGAUCAGAGCUGUACCCAGCCUCUCAGCUCAGUGAGAUCCUUGUGCAUCUCCUGGGAUCUCUCCCCUCCCAUCAUUUUGGGCUGAUUCACUCUUCCCACACAGCUCAGAUCUUCACUGGGAGGUCCUCAGAGCUUUAUUUCAAUCCUUAAGAUUCCAAAUUGUCCACGUUUCCCCUUCAGUUGGGGCCAUCAGCAGGUUUGAACAGGGAAUUUCACCAGAAAACCCCUCCACACACUUUCUUCUCUUUUUUAUGGUUGUUAAUGAAAAUAUCAAAUAUUGCUUUCCAUGUGGGUUUGGAAGGAAUUGGCUCCUCGGGUUGUCACCCAUCCCUGCUCAAUUCCUUACCUGCAUUUUCCAUCCCCUCCCUGUCCCUGUGCCCUCCUUUUCCUGCUGUCCAAUCUCCUGCAUUCCCUUUGCCUGAGAAUCCCAUUUUUCUUCCAAAGCCAGGCCCAAUUAUCCUUUGUUUCACCUUUGCUCCACUUUUCCAUCAUUUCCCAUUUACCAACUCCUUCCCUCAUCAUUUUCCUAAAUAAAAUUGGAUUAAUCAACCUUUAAUUACCCAAUCACCAUUUGUAAGUGCCAGGAUUAAUUUUAACGCUAUUCCCCACUAAAAUGCGGAGCAGGGAUCAAAUUUCCCAUAAUUCCUCUCUCCCAAAUCACCAGGAUAAACCACCAAGAGUGGUUUAUCACUUUGGCCCUUCCACAUAAUACAUUUGUGCUUUCUCAGAGCUUUAUUGCCAUUAAGAGGUCAUCAAUUAGUUGGGAAUAACUCCGGGAGCUUCAUUAAUUCCCUUCCUGGGUGUGGGUGGAAAAGGCGACCUGGAUAAGGCCAUGGUUUUCCUGGAUGUACUCAUCCAUCCUUGGAGAUUGGAUGUCUUUUCUCCUCCUCACAG